Carassius carassius (crucian carp) is the source of this 1119-nucleotide long non-coding RNA. RefSeq lists it as uncharacterized. Lineage: Eukaryota; Metazoa; Chordata; Actinopteri; Cypriniformes; Cyprinidae. The record is from RefSeq and is a predicted model, not a curated record. The transcript has 2 exons.
CACCAGCAAUUAACCCACAGAUGAAAGCAGCCCACAAACCAAGCCGGAGCAAAGCACAAGCCGUGAGGAAUGACAGCGAGAGUGAAAAGACCCGAUGGAUGGAUGAAAUUAGAAAUGCAUGGAUAGAUGGAGGAAAAGGUGGCUUUAUUACCUGCAGGUGAGCGGUGUGGGACAGUAGGCUGGAGAGGGUGUUUCGCGGAGAGUCGGGGAUCACGGGGAAGAGCAUGCGAUUAUCAGUGUCAUCACUCCAACUGUGUUUAUACAGACUCGCAUCAUAAACAAGCGCCUCUUUGGCCCCAUCCCUCAUGCGUCGCUCAUGCAUACUUAAAUCGGCAGUGCAUCCAUUAAAAAAAAAAAAAGAAGACCCCAUCUCCUGACAAUUAUUCCUUCAUCUCCACUUGUCACCGAGCAAUUACGACAGCGCACAGACAGGGCCAAAUAGGAGACACAGGGCUUUGGGAAGCCGUGCGACCGGCUGGGAACGAGGGGAGGUGAUGAAAAAAAAGUGCCUGAAAUGGAAAUAUGUCACCCUGACCUGGAGCUUUUCUGUCUUUUGUAAUGCACUAGAAAUACUGGCAUCAUUAGCAUUAAAUCUCUCCAAAAAUUAUCUAAAAAUGCAACUAAUCAUUGCAGGUUUUACUGCUUCUGGGCUUCAUAAUCUAAAAAUGCUCUUCAAAAAUGUCCCUCUCCCUAAUUUUUUUUUUUUUUUUUUUAAGAAAGGAAGUCUUUCGUCUUGCUGACCGAGUUGCUGACUGAAAGAAGCGAGUGUGUGUGUGUGUGUGUGAGACUGUGCGCACCAGUGUCUCUCUCACAGCCUGUGCGCGGAGCAGAGUCCUCGGAUCGCGCUCCACCAGCAGCCUCUCGUUGCUCUCAUUUGAGCAUGCAGCUCGCAAGCACACACACACGCACUUUCUCUCUCUCCUUCUCCUCUUUUUCUCCUGUAUUCGGACUCCAAACGAGAGAGGAUUUAACACACGCGGCUAGUUGUGGAGGACAUCCCGAGCCCCUAAAAACGCGAGAUGUUUCUCCUAGCUGCUCCCACAGACAGGAAUCCGCUCACAGAGACGAGAGCCACGCUCUCCCCUAGGAGAGGAGUACAAAGGCCAGUCUGAUGCAAAA